Molecule: ribosomal RNA, 272 nt
Filed under: Thera cognata
Lineage: Eukaryota; Metazoa; Arthropoda; Insecta; Lepidoptera; Geometridae
Description: partial 28S ribosomal RNA
Rfam family: Eukaryotic large subunit ribosomal RNA
Source: RNAcentral
AGCGGCGAGCGAACAGGAAUAAGCCCAGCACUGAAUCCCGCCGUUGUAACGGCGGCGGGAGAUGUGGUGUUCGGGAGGUUCCGCUUUCUUGUCGUCGUCCACUCCUGUCCAAGUUCGUCUUGAACGGGGCCCAUUUCCCAUAGAGGGUGCCAGGCCCGUAGCGGCGGAGGACGGCGGCGAGAGGGACUCUCCUCAGAGUCGGGUUGCUUGAGAGUGCAGCCCUAAGUGGGUGGUAAACUCCAUCUAAGGCUAAAUACUACCGCGAGACCGAU